UUCUUUGACUCUUGAGACUGAAUUGAACGAGUAAUAUUUAUUCUGAUAAUCUGGAAAGCCUGCUUGACUGACUCGAGGAUGCUUAGAAAAACUGUAUGAAGCCCACCUCUAAUGAUGGCUUCGAUGAUCUUUACCGAGUUGGGAUCCCCAAGAACUCCUGGCUCCUUCUGGUACCCCCUGCUCUCUGAGAAGCACAAAGUAAGCAGCAUAUACAAGUGUUGAGUUUGGAAGGAAGAACCAAAAUCUUUUCUGGAUGCUGGAAAGAAGCAGAGACCCAAGUGCAGUGUCAAAGCAUGGGUGGAUCAGGCUAUGGCAGAGAGAAGUGGAGGAACUUGCAAAAGUUUCCUAGGAGGAUGGAGAAAAGUGGAAGAGCGAUGAAGCAGGAGGAGGCCAUGCUCCAGAGAGCCAGGAGUAGCCCUUCCACAUGCUCUUCCAGUUUCUCUGAAGCCCUGCUUAUUCAGAGUAGCAAUGCAGAUGGAGGAACACUUCCCUG
This is a long non-coding RNA of Passer domesticus (house sparrow), 493 nucleotides long. RefSeq lists it as uncharacterized. The record is from RefSeq and is a predicted model, not a curated record. The transcript has 3 exons. NCBI's taxonomy places the organism in Eukaryota, Metazoa, Chordata, Aves, Passeriformes, Passeridae.